Long non-coding RNA from Megalobrama amblycephala (Wuchang bream), 380 nucleotides. RefSeq lists it as uncharacterized. NCBI's taxonomy places the organism in Eukaryota, Metazoa, Chordata, Actinopteri, Cypriniformes, Xenocyprididae. The record is from RefSeq and is a predicted model, not a curated record. The transcript is spliced from 2 exons.
AACUCAUCAACCCUACCUAGUGCGGUUUCCCUCAGUGUUAGCAAUGUCUGAAGCCAAAGAAGACGUCAGCAGCUGCUCGAAGAUCUCACCUUUGAAGAAGACUGUUGAUUUUAUACUCAAAAAAUCUGUGCCGAUUCUGCAGCUUUAUUCUGAUGAAGCAGCUGAUGAACACCUUCAUCAUCAUGUCCCUCACUGCUGCUCUUCUCAAUGGAGACAUCGUUGAUCCAGAGGAUGAGGAAGACCAUGAUGAUGGACCCCUGAACCACACAAGCUUGAAGCAAGAGUGGGAGAAGAUGUGCGGGACAAUCUGUGUCUGCUGCAAGCAUUCAUGUGCUCUCCAUCAACAUGACUGAAUAAACAGAUUAAAACAUUUUACACUU